Molecule: ribosomal RNA, 301 nt
Filed under: uncultured bacterium
Lineage: Bacteria
Description: partial 16S ribosomal RNA
Rfam family: Bacterial small subunit ribosomal RNA
Source: RNAcentral
CAGUAGCCACGGUAAUACGGAGGGUGCAAGCGUUAAUCGGAAUUACUGGGCGUAAAGCGCACGCAGGCGGUCUGUCAAGUCGGAUGUGAAAUCCCCGGGCUCAACCUGGGAACUGCAUUCGAAACUGGCAGGCUAGAGUCUUGUAGAGGGGGGUAGAAUUCCAGGUGUAGCGGUGAAAUGCGUAGAGAUCUGGAGGAAUACCGGUGGCGAAGGCGGCCCCCUGGACAAAGACUGACGCUCAGGUGCGAAAGCGUGGGGAGCAAACAGGAUUGGAUACCCCAGUAGUCCCUGUCUCUUAUAC